GGAGAUUCUGUCUGCUUCCAAUUUUAAUGAACAACUUUUUAAAAACUUUAUUUCUGAAAGGUUACUCAGAAAGGGCUUUUAAAACUAAAUGAAAACAUGUCUGUGCUUCCAAAGAGAAGUAAGGGAAUACCUACUUCAAAGAAAAAGGAAGGAGCUGAGGGUGGAGCGAAUCCAUCAUGGCCCUGGCUUCAAUGCCCAAUACCAAAAAUAAACAGAACCAAGGAAAAGCAAAACCCCAUGGAAAGGAUGCUAAACCCUUGGCUGCAUCAGCAUUUUCAAACUCCAGUACAAAACUCUACACCUGGAGCACUCCUAGCAACCACCAGCUUCUACCUGAGGAGAGUAUUCUUUGAUCUGCAGUGCUGGCAUGUACUCUGGUUUGCUUAGUGAAUGUGUUUGGACACAUUCUUUUUUUUUGCAAGACUCUUUAAAAUUGAGAAUCAGCCCAAAUUAAAGAGUUGCUACAUACUUAUUGACCUGUUCAUUUGUGUGGAGGCCCAUUUUUGAGGUUAAUUUUGGUCACAAAUGUGUUGAUACACAGCACAUUCAUAUUGACAUUUAUUACAUGUUAAUAUUGUGUUAAAUGUGUUUAGUGUAUUUAUU
RNAcentral lists this long non-coding RNA (603 nucleotides) under Heterocephalus glaber (naked mole-rat). RNAcentral describes it as "lncRNA (ENSHGLG00000032943.1)". Lineage: Eukaryota; Metazoa; Chordata; Mammalia; Rodentia; Bathyergidae. The record is from RNAcentral.